RNAcentral lists this unclassified non-coding RNA (292 nucleotides) under uncultured Ophiostomatales. RNAcentral describes it as "sequence contains 5.8S rRNA gene, ITS2, 28S rRNA gene". The record is from RNAcentral. Lineage: Eukaryota; Fungi; Ascomycota; Sordariomycetes; Ophiostomatales.
AACGCACAUUGCGCCUGCCAGCAUUCUGGCAGGCAUGCCUGUCCGAGCGUCAUUUCCACCCUCAUGCGCCCCCGUUUGCGCGUGGUGUUGGGGCUCUGCUCUCCCGCCCUGGCGCGGGAGAGGCCCUGAAAGCGAGUGGCGGGCCGCCUGGUUUGGCUCCGAGCGCAGUAGAAACGCAUCGUUUUUUCCCGCUCUGGACGCUGCCGGCGGCGCCCUGCCGUCAAAACGCACAGAUGACGUGCAACUUUUUAAGGUUGACCUCGGAUCAGGUAGGACUACCCGCUGAACUUAA